AAGAUACUAGUAAAACCGAAAAUUACAUUGCCUUGUCGAGACAAAAUUGCAGGUUAAAUCCCUGCGUAUCUUA
This 73-nucleotide transfer RNA is filed under the name Chilodus punctatus (spotted headstander). Its description in RNAcentral is "tRNA-Asp". It matches the Rfam family "tRNA". Rfam says of the family: Transfer RNA (tRNA) molecules are approximately 80 nucleotides in length. Their secondary structure includes four short double-helical elements and three loops (D, anti-codon, and T loops). Lineage: Eukaryota; Metazoa; Chordata; Actinopteri; Characiformes; Chilodontidae. The record is from RNAcentral.